RNAcentral lists this ribosomal RNA (253 nucleotides) under uncultured bacterium. RNAcentral describes it as "partial 16S ribosomal RNA". It matches the Rfam family "Bacterial small subunit ribosomal RNA", at positions 524 to 776 of the family's 1533-position model. The record is from RNAcentral.
UACGUAGGUGGCAAGCGUUGUCCGGAUUUAUUGGGUUUAAAGGGUGCGUAGGCGGCCCUGUAAGUCAGUGCUGAAAUAUCCCGGCUUAACCGGGAGGGUGGCAUUGAUACUGCGGGGCUAGAGUACAGAUGAGGUAGGCGGAAUUGACGGUGUAGCGGUGAAAUGCUUAGAUAUCGUCAAGAACACCUAUAGCGAAGACAGCUUACUAGGCUGUAACUGACGCUGAGGCACGAAAGUGUGGGGAUCAAACAGG